CUGAGAAACGGCUACCACAUCUACGGAUGGCAGCAGGCGCGAAAAUUGCCCAAUCCCGAUUCGGGGAGGCAGUGACAAGAAAUAACAACCCAGAACAUUGUUUCCGGGAUUGCAAUGAGAACAAUUUAAAAACCUUAUCGAGUACCAACUGGAGGGCAAGUUCUGGUGCCAGCAGCCGCGGUAAUUCCAGCUCCAGUAGCGUAUAUUAAAGUUGCUGCAGUUAAAAAGCUCGUAGUUGAAUUUCUGUUUGUAAGAGUCGAAGCUUUACAGCUAAGAUUUCUUCGAACAUCUGUUUGCAAGCAUACGUUCGGCCUUCACUGGUUGGCUAUGUAAGCAAGCGUUUUACCUUGAGAAAAUUAGAGUGUUCCAGGCAGGCUUCAGCCGGAAUACAUUAGCAUGGAAUAAUGGAAUAGGACUGGGG
This 421-nucleotide ribosomal RNA is filed under the name uncultured eukaryote. RNAcentral's name for it is "SSU rRNA". It matches the Rfam family "Eukaryotic small subunit ribosomal RNA", at positions 396 to 833 of the family's 1831-position model. The record is from RNAcentral.